UCUGGACCUGAACCUAUUGCUGAACUCGACCUGGAACGAACGGCUGAAGAUGAAACAGAUUCUGCUGACUCAGAGCCUCUUGGGGACAACUCCUCCUCUCAAUCAGGACCUGUCUCUCCUCACCCAGAAUCUGCAUCCUAUCCAGGACAAUCCAGCAUGUUAAGUGAUUCUUCUGCUGUAAAACUCUCCAGCCCAGAUCCUGAACCAUCUGCCAGACGCUCUACCAGAACACGUCACCCACCAACUCGUCUGCAGUAUUCAACACUUGGGCAUCCACUUCUGCAGAGCAUCCAAACCCUGUUUCAAGGACUCAGUACAGUCUUUACAUCUGCUCUGGAACUGGAUGAGACCUCUGUGACCUCUACAUCAUGUGACAGUGUGGUGUGUCACCAGCCGGUUGCAUGUACGAGGCCGCACAUGAGUUUAGGGGGGGAACCUGUAACCUGCAAUUAGUAAUGGACUUUUAUUUUUGCGGGCCCACUUCCUGUUUGCCCCAAACUCCGCUAGCUUAUUUAAAGCCACGCCUCCAGCGCGCAGUUUAAAGAUCCUCACCUGUUUCCACUGUGGCUGUGGCUUGUUGUUGGCGUCUUCUUCACGGAGUCAUCAAAAUCUUUAAGCCCACUGAUUUGAUUGCCUGAAUUAUUGGCGUUGUUACCUGGAUGUCACCGGGGUUCUGGCACAGCUGAUUGUGGCUGGGCGUGCCCACUCUCUUGAUAAGGUCGGGUUUUUUUUUUCCGGUUGGAUCAGAUCCUCAUCAGGAUUUGAAGAUGGCGAGCUAAGGAAAAGAACUCUGAACUUAAUGAUUUUGCAA
Long non-coding RNA from Gambusia affinis (western mosquitofish), 811 nucleotides. RefSeq lists it as uncharacterized. The record is from RefSeq and is a predicted model, not a curated record. NCBI's taxonomy places the organism in Eukaryota, Metazoa, Chordata, Actinopteri, Cyprinodontiformes, Poeciliidae. The transcript has 3 exons.